RNAcentral lists this long non-coding RNA (564 nucleotides) under Ananas comosus (pineapple). RNAcentral's name for it is "long non-coding RNA (ACOM_LNC027696)". Lineage: Eukaryota; Viridiplantae; Streptophyta; Magnoliopsida; Poales; Bromeliaceae. The record is from RNAcentral.
UAUAUAUAUAUAUAUAUAUAUAUAUAUAUAUAUAGAGAGAGAGAGAGAGAGAGAGAGGGAGAGAGAGAGAGAGAGAGAGAGCAGGGGUUUGUGUACUCUUAGAAGCACAAAGGCUUUCAUGCUCCUAAGUCGUUUAUAAUGAUGAAAAUUUUGAAUCAACGAUUAACUCCGUUACACUUAAUCUAACAUAUUUAAAAUAUCUAAGAAAUAAUUUUUUUGAUUUUUCGACAUCAUUUAUCUAGCAAUUGAAAGAGUUUAAAAUCUAUUUAAUGGUUGAUGUCUACCAUUUUCAAGUUUAAUAGUGUAGAAGUAUUCAAAUAAGAUGACAUUUUGAUAGAAAAUUCUGCAUACUAUCUAUAACAAAAUUGAUAUCUCUGAUCGAAAAUUUUAGCGCUAUAUCACAUUUUUUUGAGAUUUUUAUUUUCAGCUGUUGAUUUUGAACCCUUUUGAUGGCUAGGUAAAUGAUAUCGAAAAAUAUCAAAAUUUAUUUUUUAGAUACUUUAAAUAUGUUAAAUCAAGUCUAACGAGCUAAUCAUCUAUUUUGAAAUUAUAUUAUAGAAAACG